UUAUUCAUCAUGUUCUGCUGUGCCUGUGCAAAGCUAAAUGUGUCUCACCAUGGAAACAGCCUUCUGUCUCCGCCGGAGGGUGUUUCAGCGGCCACGAUGACUCCGACCUCGUUCCUCGGUACCAGGCUGUCCCGAUCUGCUCCACAUUGUCGUACGUGCGAUGGAGCGGGCCAGCCUCACAGUUUGUCGCUGGUUUCAUGACUCAACUUGCUAAUUGGUUCGGUUUGUUGACAGACUCGACAGAUGUGGAUAUAGAAGAAAUAAUGCAGUGGGAGGACAACGUGGCUCUCGGCGCACGGACUUGGGAGAACGUGCUGAUGUUGAACUGCUGGGCCGAUGGAAGCAGUGGGGACCUUCUCCGAGAUGAUUUGACUCCCUGUCAGACUUCUCUGAUUGGGAAGCGCAGUCAUUGUGCGGCCGUUUAGACCGUAACCCUCGUCCAUGCUGGAUAACGAGUUCAACAUUUUUG
Molecule: long non-coding RNA, 469 nt
Organism: Gasterosteus aculeatus aculeatus (three-spined stickleback)
Lineage: Eukaryota; Metazoa; Chordata; Actinopteri; Perciformes; Gasterosteidae
Source: Ensembl